AUUGAACGCUGGCGGCAGGCCUAACACAUGCAAGUCGAGCGGCAGCGGAAAGUAGCUUGCUACUUUGCCGGCGAGCGGCGGACGGGUGAGUAAUGUCUGGGAAACUGCCUGAUGGAGGGGGAUAACUACUGGAAACGGUAGCUAAUACCGCAUAACGUCGCAAGACCAAAGAGGGGGACCUUCGGGCCUCUUGCCAUCAGAUGUGCCCAGAUGGGAUUAGCUAGUAGGUGGGGUAACGGCUCACCUAGGCGACGAUCCCUAGCUGGUCUGAGAGGAUGACCAGCCACACUGGAACUGAGACACGGUCCAGACUCCUACGGGAGGCAGCAGUGGGGAAUAUUGCACAAUGGGCGCAAGCCUGAUGCAGCCAUGCCGCGUGCAUGAAGAAGGCCUUCGGGUUGUAAAGUACUUUCAGCGGGGAGGAAGGUGUUGAGGUUAAUAACCUCAGCAAUUGACGUUACCCGCAGAAGAAGCACCGGCUAACUCCGUG
This 490-nucleotide ribosomal RNA is filed under the name uncultured bacterium. RNAcentral's name for it is "partial 16S ribosomal RNA". It matches the Rfam family "Bacterial small subunit ribosomal RNA", at positions 30 to 507 of the family's 1533-position model. The record is from RNAcentral.